This 71-nucleotide non-coding RNA is filed under the name unclassified sequences. RNAcentral describes it as "DUF3800-IX RNA". It matches the Rfam family "DUF3800-IX RNA". Rfam says of the family: Actinobacteria, Firmicutes (1 example), Nitrospirae, Proteobacteria, Verrucomicrobia (1 example). Nearby to DUF3800 The record is from Rfam by way of RNAcentral.
UCCCGCCCGGCGAAAAGCCACCGGAAUGGUGGCCUGCCUGGAGCAGUUCCAGGCUAGCCGGGUGGGUUUUC